Molecule: non-coding RNA, 23 nt
Filed under: Arabidopsis thaliana (thale cress)
Lineage: Eukaryota; Viridiplantae; Streptophyta; Magnoliopsida; Brassicales; Brassicaceae
Source: RNAcentral
ACCCGACCCGAAUACCCAAACGU